GACGUAGGAGGCGAGCGUUGUCCGGAUUCAUUGGGCGUAAAGAGCACGCAGGCGGUUUGGCAAGUCGGAUGUGAAAACCCGGAGCUCAACUCCGGACCUGCAUCCGAAACUGCCCGACUAGAGGUAGGUAGGGGAGAUCGGAAUUCCUGGUGUAGCGGUGAAAUGCGCAGAUAUCAGGAGGAACACCGGUGGCGAAGGCGGAUCUCUGGGCCGAUACUGACGCUGAGGAGCGAAAGCGUGGGGAGCGAACAGG
This 253-nucleotide ribosomal RNA is filed under the name uncultured bacterium. RNAcentral describes it as "partial 16S ribosomal RNA". It matches the Rfam family "Bacterial small subunit ribosomal RNA", at positions 524 to 776 of the family's 1533-position model. The record is from RNAcentral.